RNAcentral lists this signal recognition particle RNA (97 nucleotides) under Anaerolineae bacterium. RNAcentral describes it as "signal recognition particle sRNA small type". It matches the Rfam family "Bacterial small signal recognition particle RNA". Rfam says of the family: The signal recognition particle (SRP) is a universally conserved ribonucleoprotein involved in the co-translational targeting of proteins to membranes. Archaeal SRP consists of a 7S RNA and homologues of the eukaryotic SRP19 and SRP54 proteins. The record is from RNAcentral. Lineage: Bacteria; Bacillati; Chloroflexota; Anaerolineae.
GGCUGGGACCCGCACGGCAAGAAGCUCCGAACCGUGUCAGGGGCGAAAGCCAGCAGCACUAAGGGGUGAAAUGGGUGUUGCGGGUAUCCUAGCUCAC